CAAGACAAAGGUAUAAUACGAAGAAACAUCUCAAGAGAAAGUGGAGGAAAAAGAGCUGUGUCUUCCUAGAAGUACAGUGAUACAAAUUGCUAAUGCGUUCACCUCAGAAACACUGGAAGCGGGAUACCAGGGAAUAUUAUUAAAAUGAUAAUCUGGACCCAGAAGGGAUCAACCGAGAAUGCUGCAUCCAGCAAUAAAAUGCCUUGAUGACGAUCAAUGUUGGACAUGUGCAUAUUGUGCACUGCCCCAAACAGAGAAACCAGAAACUGCCAGACUUUGGAAUGAGCAGCCUUAUGUAACAAGAGACGUGACCCAAAGGAAUUACAUAGAAGAAGAAUAGAAGAAGGGAACUUUCUGCAGCCCACGUAAUGUAGAAUCCAGCAAUUCGCAAAUGCAGAUAGAUGUAAAUGCAAAAUAUUUUCUUGAUCAAAUUUCUAUGUCUUUUUGAAUGAGAGUUGACUGCUUGAAGCAGAAUGAUAGCACUAUGUUUAAGUUUAGCAUAUGUAGAGGUAACAGUUUGAACAGGUAGCAUAAAUCAUACAGGUAACAAUUGGAAGUGUACCACUGUGUCUUAUCUCAUGCACGAUGGUAUGUAAUAUUCAUAAAAGGUUACUGUGUGGGUUCAAAGGGAUAUUGCAAAUCCUAGAGCAAUCACAAAAUUUUGACCUCUGAGGUUUAUGUUAUAAUAAGAAUAUUCCACGCAUUCCAAAGCGGGAAGCCAUGGAAGAAAAAGAAGUUUUUCAAGAGCUCGGGCUCUUAUACAUCCAGAUACGGAUUAAACCAGCUUCCUGGAAUGGAGGGUCUGAGGUUGAGACUAGGUCACAAUUGUAGAGUCUCUAGAGAGAGUGUGUUGGAUCUCCAUGGCCCGGAAUAUAUUUCCCAUUUUCUCAGGCAGCCACAGGUCAUGAAUGUGAGAGGUUGGAGCAACGUUGUUGGGAGGCAUAAGGAAGAGCGAAUGCUUCAAGAUCCCUGCAGCCCAAACUCCUCCCCUGCUUUGCCCCCUUCUUCAUUGCUUUCUGCUCCUCCGUAGCUGUCCAACCUCUUCAGAUCUCUUAGUCUACCCUGCCGUCUUCCUUGAUGCCAUGGGUCCCACUGUUCUUUCAACUCAUUCGCUUUCCCUCAGUCCCGGAGUGGCUGCGGCCAGCAGAGGACAGAUUGAGAGCAAGAGAGAAGGUCCUGCCCAGGAACCCAUUCUUGAGAUACUGCAUUCUGACCUGGAGAAAAUUUUUCAGGGCAGCUUUGAGAAGUCGUGCAGAAAGAAAUCCACGUGACCCAUGUGAUAUGAGAAUGACAGACAGUAAUAGUAUUUGCACAAUGCGUUUCCAUGUGAAACGUAGAGCCUUUUCAUUAUGUUUUGAGUACAUAGUAUGUGAAGGUUAGCCUGGAAAGGCUGUCCUUCUGGAUGCCAUGUUUUCUCAGAAGAACUACAUGUUAGUUGCAACUCCCACUUUAGAAUAUGAAGCCCUACCGAGAGAGAUAGGCAGAACUAGACAGAUACAGAUACUUUUGUGUGUGAAUCAACAAUGGCACAAUACAGGCGUCAAAACGCAUACCAGUUAUUCCAGAGAGAUGGAUUGGGCAGCAGGUAGAAGGAGAAUAGUCUGAUCAUGUUUUGGCCACAUGUAUGCGUUAUCUCAGUGUCUCUAGGAAGUGUUUGCUCCUUUAGAUUUACAAAAAUAGUAUAAUCUAUUAAGUAUGAGAAAUGUGCAGAGAGGAUUAGUGAUUGAGAGCCAUUCGUGCUUGUGGUAACCAUAUGGUAUUUUUAAUGGGUAUAUUUGAAAGGCACCAGGAACAUCCUUGUUGCAGCACAAAGGAGCGGGUGUGGGGUGCCCCUGCAUAGUGUCCCACCUCUUGUGACAUGUAUGGUUUUGGAAUUUCCAGUGGCUUGAUCAGGAACUACUGCAGGAAUCCAGAUCCUGUGGCAGCCCCUUAUUGUUAUACGAUGGAUCCCAAUGUCAGGUGGGAAUACUGCAACCUGACACAAUGCUCAGAUGCAGAAGGGACUGCCAUCGCACCUCCAAAUGUCACCCCGGUUCCAAGCCUAGAGGCUCCUUCCGAACAAGCACCGACCGAGCAAAGGCCUGGGGUGCAGGAGUGCUACCAUGGUAAUGGACAGAGCACGAGGCACAUACUUCACCACUGUCACAGGAAGGACCUGCCAAGCUUGGUCAUCUAUGACUCACACUCUCAUAUUCAUGACACCGCACCUCAGUCGAUUCCCAGAAAACUACCCAAAUGGUGGCUUGAUCAAGAACUACUGCAGGAAUCCAGAUCCUGUGGCAGCCCCUUAUUGUUAUACUACGGAUCCCAAAUGUCAGGUGGGAGUACUGCAACCUGACACAAUGCUCAGACGCAGAAGGGACUGCUGUCACAUCUCCGAUCAAGGUCACUCCCGGUUCCAGCCCAGAGGCUCCUUCCCAGCAAGCACCAACUGAGCAAAAGCCUGGGGUGCAGGAGUGCUACCACGGUAAUGGGCAGAGCUAUCGAGGCACAUACUUCUACCACUGUGACAUGGGAAGAACUACAAGUCAUCAUCUAUGACACCGCACUCAGUCGGACUUCAGAAAACUACCCAAAUGGUGGUGACCUGCAGAACUACUGCAGGAAUCCCGAUCCUGUGGCAGCCCCUCAUUGUUAUAAUGAUGGAUCCCAAUGUCAGGUGGGAGUACUGCAACCUGACACAAUGCUCAGACGCAGAAGGGACUGCUGUCACAUCUCCGACUGUCACCCCGGUUCCAAGCCUAGAGGCUCCUUCUGAGCAAGCACUGACUGAGCAAAGGCCCGGGUGCAGGAGGCUACACGGUAAUGGAUAGAGUUAUCAGGCACAUACUUCACCACUGUGACAGGAAGAACCUGCCAAGCUUGGUCAUCUAUGACACCACACUUGCUAGUCGGAUUCCCAGAAAACUACCUCCAAAUGGGUUUGAUCAGGAACUACUGCAGGAAUCCUGAUCCUGUGGCAGCCCUCAUUGUUAUACGAUGGAUCCCAAUGUCAGGUGGGAGUACUGCAACUUGAUGACAAUGCUCAGGACGCAGAAGGGACUGCUGUCACAUCUCCGACUGUCACCCCGGUUCCAAGCCUAGAGGCUCCUCCCGAGCAAGCACCGACAGAGCAAAGGCCUGGGUGCAGAGAGGCACACGGUAAUGGACAGAGUUAUCGAGGCACAUACUUCACCACUGUGACAGGAAGAACCUGCCAAGCUUGGUCAUCUAUGACACCGCACCUCAUAGUCGGACUUUCAGAAAACUACCCAAAUGGUGGCUUGAUCAGGAACUACUGCAGGAAUCCAGAUCCUGUGGCAGCCCCUUAUUGUUAUACGAUGGAUUCCAAUGUCAGGGUGGGAAUACUGCAACCUGACACAAUGCUCAGAUGCAGAAGGGACUGCCAUCGCACCUCCAAAUGUCACCCCGGUCUCCAAGCCCAGAGGCUCCUUCCGAACAAGCACCGACUGAGCAAAGGCCUGGGGUGCAGGAGUGCUACUACGGUAAUGGACAGAGUUAUCGAGGCACACAUUUCACCACCGUGACAGGAAGAAAUUACAAGCUUGGUCGCUCAUGACACCGCACUCAGUUUGACCUCAGAAAACUACCCAAAUGGUGGCUUGAUCAGGAACUACUGCAGGAAUCCAGAUCCUGUGGCAGCCCCCUUUAUUGUUAUACGAUGGAUCCCAAUGUUGAUGGGAGUACUGCAAUCUGACACAAUGCUCAGGAUGCAGAAGGAUUGCUGUCGCACCUCCGAAUGUCACCCCGAGAUACUCAUUGAUUUCUUCUAUUUCUUCAGCACCGAAUUUCGAGCAAAGGCCUGGGGUGCAGGAGUGCUACUACGGUAAUGGACAGAGUUAUCGAGGCACAUACUUCACCACUGUGACAGGAAGAACCUGCUAAGCUUGGUCUGCCAGAAAUAAGACCUGGUUUGUGGAGGAAAGGAGCUCUACAACACGCAUAGAAGUCCCCUCCAGUUGUUGGCCUGACAUGACGCUGCAUGUGCACAGACAAUGGUUCCACAAGACACGGGAAGCCAUGGAAGAAAAAGAAGUCUUUGAAGAGCUCGGGCUCUUAUACAUCCAGUUGCUGAUUGAACCAGCUUCCUGGAAUGGAGGGUCUGAGAGGCCUCUGAACAAGGUAAGGAGCCUGUGGCCAGACUUCUACGCACCUCUAGACUCUGGGAUGAAAGCUGCGGAAAUUCCCAGUGGUGCGGCAGUUUUCAAUGGUCCACAGAUGCUUGGAGUGUUGACUGCUGAGUUCUGCCAUGUAGGAGAAGCCUGCGUGCACCUCUGGGAACUAGGGAGGAUUUCUGGUACAAAUAGUUAUCGAGGCACAUAUUUCACCACUGACAGGAAGAACUCCGCUGCUUGGUCAUCUAUGACACCGCACUCUCAUAGUCGGACUCCCAGAAAACUACCCAAAUGGUGGCUUGAUCAGGAACUACUGCAGGAAUCCAGAUCCUGUGGCAGCCCCUUAUUGUUAUACGAUGGAUCCCAAUGUCAGGUGUGGGAGUACUGCAACCUGGACACAAUGCUCGAUGCAGAAGGGACUGCCGCCUGACCUCCGAAUGUCACCCCGGUUCCAAGCCUAGAGGCUCCUUCAGAACAAGCACCGACUGAGCAAAGGCCUGGGUGUCCAGGAGGCACACGGUAACUGACAGAGUUAUCGAGGCACAUACUUCACCACUAAUGUGGUGGAUGAACACUGCCUUCAGUACCAGUGGCCUGAAGGGAUACAGGUUCGCAGCAAGAGAAGAGCCAAGGCAGGAAGGCAGAUGAGAUGGCUUGAUCAGAACUACUGCAGGAAUCCAGAUCCCAAAGUGCGCCCUUAUUGUUAUACGAUGGAUCCCAAUGCUAGGUGGGAGUACUGCAACCUGACACAAUGCUCAGACGCAGAAGGGACUGCCAUCACACCUCUGACUGUUACCCUGUUCCAAGCCCAGAGGCUCCUUCCGGAGCAAGCACCGACUGAGCAAAGGCCUGGGGUGCAGGAGUGCUACCACGGUAAUGGACAGAGUUAUCGAGGCACAUACUUCACCACUGUGACAGGAAGAACCUGCCAAGCUUGGUCAUCUAUGACACCACACUCUCAUAGUCGGACCCCAGAAAACUACCCAAAUGGUGACUUGAUCAGGAACUACUGCAGGAAUCCCGAUCCUGUGGCAGCCCCUUAUUGUUAUACGAUGGAUCCCAAUGUCAGGUGGGAGUACUGCAACUUGACACAAUGCUCAGACGCAGAAGGGACUGCUGUCACAUCUCCGACUGUCACCCCGGUUCCAAGCCUAGAGGCUCCUUCUGAGCAAGCACCGACCAAGCAAAGGCCUGGGGUGCAGGAGUGCUACCACGGUAAUGGACAGAGUUAUCGAGGCACAUACUUCACCACUGUGACAGGAAGAACCUGCCAAGCUUGGUCAUCUAUGACACCGCACUCUCAUAGUCGGACCCCAGAAAACUACCCAAAUGGGUAUGUCUUUGUUCUUUACCGUAAGAGAAGAAAGGGACAAUUGAAGUUUCUCUUAGAAGAGACGUGCUUCCAGCUGAGUUAUCUGAACUCAACUUGUGUCAGACACAGAUGAUGCAGCAAAAUGUCUCAGGAUGAUUGCCUUGGAGCUAAGGGUCUGAGAGAAGAGAACUGUUAAGCUGCCUCUCCUUCCUCCUAGUUUUAUGGAUCAGAAGGGACAUCUGGAGGCGAGGACAUUACAUUAUGAAGAAAGUCAGAAUGGCAAAGGACCAAACACUUAGAUUAUCCUUCCACAACACCCACUAAGGGUCAGUGAAGACUUUUCAAUUGGAAUUCUGUUAUUCUGACUUCCCAUUCCUGAAGGGAAGGUUGUUUGCCUUUUCUGUCUGGGCCAAUGAGGAAAGAAUAUGUGCUUAUGUAUGGACAGGCAAAUGUAUCUCUUUCUAUAUCUAUGUGUAUUCCAACGGGGAGGGAAUCACUCGGCCCUAAGUGCCAGUGGCCUGAAGGGAUACAGGUUGGUGGCAAGAGAAGAGCCAAGGCAGGAAGGCAGAUGAGAGUGAGGAAAGAGACGGAUGCUGAAAAAUAAAAGGGACAGGUAGAUGGACAGAAGCGUGGGUCUGAGCAGCCCAUAGCCAAUUUUUUGGCCACAAGUGACUGCCAAAGACAGGGAAAAAUGGUUUCUCCAUGUGGGACAAGAGAUGUUAGAGGACCUAGAGAAUUAAGAGAGGGGCAAUGAUGAGCUCAACUGCAAAGAUGCCUUGGUUUUCUUCCUGGAUACCCUUGCUGCACUGACUAGCAAGGUGAUGGAGCCCAAGGAGACUCUAGCCAUCUUGCUGAAGGGAGGAGAGGGAUUGGAGUUUGGGAUGACUGUGGUAGCUAACAUUUUCUAGGUCUGCUACCAAUAAGACCUGGUUUGUGGAGGAAAGGAGCUCUGCAAAUACACAUAGAAGUCUCCUCCAUUUGUUGGCCUGACAUGACGCUGCAUUUGCACAGAAAAUGGUUCCACAAGAAAGUAUGGCAAGGAACAUUUACUGAGAAACAGCAAUUGCAAGAGAACAGCAAGCUCUAUAAGGAAGACGGAGCUCACAUAGCACUCUGGGAGAUCGGAGUUCUUACCAGCUAGACUAGAGAUUCCUCACAGAACACGUUGCCAGUUCAGUGGAGAUGCCAGAACAGCCUUGAUUUAAAAGUGGAAUUAGUAUAUUCCUAGAAAUCAGGCAGCUGCAGACCACCGCUUGCAUAGCUGAACAGCCAGUGUCCAAGCAUCAAAUUGGUUUCCAAGUCAAUGAACUGCUUGUGAGAGGAAAUCUCAACUCUUUUACAAGUAAACAACAACGUCAAUUGGCUCAGGUAUGAGGUAUCCGCAGAGUGAGUCCUAAAUUUAAAAUUUGACUACAUGUAGAAAAGCGUUUCGUGUCAUCCAUGACCAGCAAAUAAAUCAGGAAGUACAAGCAAGCUCAGAAAUGACAGAAAUGAUUAGAAUUGCAUGAAAAUUUGACAUAUCGGUAUGAUAACGGAUUUCAAAUGUUUAAAAAAAGAAUAUGCAACAAACCAGAUAUCAUAUCAAGAGAAAUUAACAGUAUAGAAUAGCGAAAUCAAAUUAAAGGACUAGUAUUAAAAAUGUAUGUCUUAGAUGAAAAAGUUACUGCAUGGCCUCUUGCUCAAGUUAGAUAUUUCUGAAGAAAAAAUUAACCAAAAAAGAAAUCUACAGAACCUGCAGAACUAGCUACACACACAAACCCAAAUUCAAAACACACCCGUACACGGACACAUGCAAAAACUCACAAGUUCUCUCACACACAAGGACAACCCUGAAGAAAUAGUGAAAUACGAAAUCAACAAAGCCUCACAGACAUGUAGGAAAAUAUGAAAAGAUUUUCUGCAUGUGGGAAGGAAGUCACAGAAAAGAGCAAGGGAGUUUGGAGUAGAAGCAAGUACCGGAAUCAAGAAUGGUUGAUAACUGUUCAGUUAUGAGGAACAUUGAAAAUAUCACAGUUUCAUGAAACUCUAUGGAACAAUUAGGGAAAUCGGAAGAAAAAAAAACCCAAAAAUCCUGUGUGCUGUACUUCUGUACCCACAGUUCGAAGGUAACAAGGCAAAGGCAUAAUACGAAGAAACAUCUCAGGAGAAACUGGAAGAAAAAGGGCUGUGUCUUCCUAGAAGUAGAGGGAUACAAAUUGCUAAUGGGUUCACCUCAGAAACACUGGAAGCCACACAUCAGGGAAUAUUAUUAAAAUGAUAAUCUGGAC
This is a non-coding RNA of Chlorocebus sabaeus (green monkey), 7694 nucleotides long. The record is from RefSeq and is a predicted model, not a curated record. NCBI's taxonomy places the organism in Eukaryota, Metazoa, Chordata, Mammalia, Primates, Cercopithecidae.